GACGAACGCUGGCGGCGUGCUUAACACAUGCAAGUCGAACGGAAAGGCCCUGCUUUUGUGGGGUGCUCGAGUGGCGAACGGGUGAGUAACACGUGAGUAACCUGCCCUUGACUUUGGGAUAACUUCAGGAAACUGGGGCUAAUACCGGAUAGGAGCUCCUGCUGCAUGGUGGGGGUUGGAAAGUUUCGGCGGUUGGGGAUGUACUCGCGGCUUAUCAGCUUGUUGGUGGGGUAGUGGCUUACCAAGGCUUUGACGGGUAGCCGGCCUGAGAGGGUGACCGGCCACAUUGGGACUGAGAUACGGCCCAGACUCCUACGGGAGGCAGCAGUGGAGAAUAUUGCACAAUGGGCGGAAGCCUGAUGCAGCAACGCCGCGUGCGGGAUGACGGCCUUCGGGUUGUAAACCGCUUUCGCCUGUGACGAAGCGUGAGUGACGGUAAUGGGUAAAGAAGCACCGGCUAACUACGUG
This 468-nucleotide ribosomal RNA is filed under the name uncultured bacterium. Its description in RNAcentral is "partial 16S ribosomal RNA". It matches the Rfam family "Bacterial small subunit ribosomal RNA", at positions 28 to 507 of the family's 1533-position model. The record is from RNAcentral.